AUGCCGACAUGCAUCAGGAAGCCAACAGACAGCCAGAGCUUGAAGGCGUGGAGCCUGAGCUGCAGUGACGACGACAACUUGGGUGUCAGGUGCAAAAACUGCAGUUCAAAGUGUUCAACCAAGUUACACGAUAUUCAGGUCCAAAGGUUUUCCGUCCACUGCAUGGCUGGCUACGAGUGGCUGGCCGACGGGGUGCUCGGCGAGGUCGAAGCCGCUGCGUACUGGACUGCCGUCGCGCCAAACGUCGAGGAGUAUGGCAGCGCCGUGGCCAGGUCCAACGCUUCCGGCGCCGAGAACGUGGCCAAGGGGAUCAUGUGGUGCGGGGUGAUGACCGUGGACAGGCUCCGCUGGCGGAACGAGGUGCUCCGAAAGAGGAUUCAAACCGGCGAUAAUGAGGCCGAGGUCUGCCCGGAGAUGCUCAGGUGUAUCAAAAGGUAG
This 438-nucleotide ribosomal RNA is filed under the name Triticum aestivum (bread wheat). RNAcentral's name for it is "partial small subunit ribosomal RNA". Lineage: Eukaryota; Viridiplantae; Streptophyta; Magnoliopsida; Poales; Poaceae. The record is from RNAcentral.